UACGGAGGGUGCAAGCGUUAUCCGGAUUUAUUGGGUUUAAAGGGUCCGCAGGCGGAUAAUUAAGUCAGAGGUGAAAUCCUACAGCUUAACUGUAGAACUGCCUUUGAUACUGGUUAUCUUGAGUAUAGUUGAAGUAGGCGGAAUACGUUGUGUAGCGGUGAAAUGCAUAGAUAUGACGUAGAACACCAAUUGCGAAGGCAGCUUACUAAGCUAUUACUGACGCUCAUGGACGAAAGUAUGGGGAGCGAACAGG
Molecule: ribosomal RNA, 253 nt
Filed under: uncultured bacterium
Lineage: Bacteria
Description: partial 16S ribosomal RNA
Rfam family: Bacterial small subunit ribosomal RNA
Source: RNAcentral